AUGCAUAGUCUGUGUAACUUAAAAUAGCUGUUCUUACUCUAUUUUAUAUUUUAGUUUGCUUUUUUUUUCUAUUUUGUAUGCGUCUUUAGCCAAAAAAAAAAAGAAAGAAAAGAAAAAGAAAAAGAAAGAUGAAAGAAUUAGCCACAUGCUUCUUAUUUUUAUCUUUGCCCUGUUAGGUUAUUUUUAACUCAGCCACCAGUAUAUCUUAAUACUCUUAUUGUGUGUGUGUGUGUGUGUGUGUGUAUGUAUGUAUGUAUGAGUGUACCAUAUAUGUUCAAAUGCAUGUAUACCGCAUAUGGAUUAUCUCCUUUUUAAAAAGGUUUUUAUAAAAUUUUAAAUUUUUUGUAUGUGUGCAUGUGGGCAUGUACAUGCAUGCAUAUGUAUAGAAAUCAGAAGAUAACCUGUGGGAGCUAGUUCUGCUUUCACCAUAUGGGUCCCAGAAAGUGAACUAGGAUCAAAUUGGGUGACAAGAACCAUACCCCAUUGAGCCAUCUCUUGUUUCUUACCUCCUUUUAGAGUAGGUUCAGCCUUUUUUAAACAAAAUUUUAAUAGUUUUACCUAAAAAAUUGGAAUUAUAUUUAAUUGCCUUUAAUAUUUUAUAUGCGAGUGUGAGUGCCAUAGCACGUAUAUGUGAAGAUCAAAGGACAGCUUUGCAGAGUUGGUCCCUGCCUUCUGUCUUGUUGGGGCAGGGUCUCUUGUUUCUGCUACUCUAGUACUCGGGCUAUCUGGCCUAUGAGCUUUCUACUGAGUCCUUCUGUCUCUCCCCCACAUCUCACAGUGUAAGUACAGGUUACAGAUGCAUGCUACUGCAUACAGCUUUUUACUUGGCUUCCAGGGAACCCACUCAGGUACCCUUGAGUCAUCUUCCUCAGCCCAGUUUUACAUUUCAUAACAUAACUUUGGUUGCUUUAAAAAAAAAAGUUUAACUGUACAGUGUUUGUUCUUAGGUUUUUAUACAAAAACAUCCUAUAAUAUAUUGAUAUUUUAAAUAUGUUUAUAAUUUUUAAGGAGAUUGAUUUACUGAAUCAAGUUCUUUAGUCCAAGCUCUCCUUUAACUUGGAUCAUUUUUCUCACCCUAGCUGCCACAUGCUGGGAUUUUAUAAGCAUAAGUCACCAUGCUAAGCUAGCUAUAGAAUUAUUUUAUACUCACUUUUCCCAUGUACACUCUUGUCAGUAAAUCUUCUGAAGAGCUAGAGUGGGAUACAAAGGAAGCAGCCAAUGCAAGAGCAUUGUUGAUAUGUUAAAAUAGCAAAGAAGGCAUGUAGCUGGAAGGAAUAAAUAAUGGAAGUGGUGAGUGAGGUCAAAAGAAAAUGUAUUUAUGUAUGUAUAGGGAUGGAAUAGAUAGCAUUGCAAGGCUAGCAGGCAAUCAUUUGGGGAUCCAGCAUUGUUCUGGUUAUUCUCUUGAGAAUGGCUUAGCCAUAUAGGGAAUUGCAGUAGAAGUGGUCAUUAUAGUAAUCCAAAUACAUGAUAUGAUGGCAGCUUUGUAAACUCAAGGAGAUAACUGAAAAGACGGUUAAAAAAAAUCACAUGCAUUUCUAUACAUUUGCUUAGCAACUAGAAGGAAGGAAAAUGGGAGAAAAGGAAAGAGAUCAAGGAUUAUGUUGAAUUUUUUUCCUGGGGAAACAUGAACAAACCCCAGAUAUGGCACAGAGAGUAGUCCAAAGAAAUGCUUCCAAUUGUAAUUUUGUGAGCUGAUAAGCUUAAUUGGGUUUACACAGAUGGGGUGGGGGUGGGGAGGAGUUAGCUACACCAGCAGAAUCCCCCUAAAUCCCAGAAAUGUUAGCUACUUAUAUAUCCUGAAGGUGGGUUGAGCUGCUCUGGUUGAUGAGUCCUUUGUGGCCCACUUCAUAACCCUACUCCUACAAGAGAAUGUUAGUAGUCUCAAUGUUAGAGAAGUCUUUUGUGGGUGAUCAAAGAUAGAUACCAUGCCAAAGGACAAAAUUCCACAGCAGAUGACUUAAGUACUUUUAGCUCGAGCAACUUGAAAUAAUGGAAUUGCCAAUCACUGACAUGUAUAGAUACAGUUUAUUUAUGGAAAACAUCAGGAAUUUUGGACAUGUAAAAAGUCUCUUAGACUUUGGAGUAAAGUUAUUUUAUAUUACUUCAAACUUCAGGAGAAAGGUGAAUUGGAGUAUGUGGAUGGUAUUACCAAGACGGUGAGUUUAGAUGGAGAAGAUAAUCAAGGACGAUUCAGUCAUUCAUUACAGAGUACACUGAAAAGAAUGUCAGGCAAGAUUAGAGUGGUGUAGAAGUCCACUAAAAAAACUGUUGAGAAGUC
RNAcentral lists this long non-coding RNA (2278 nucleotides) under Mus musculus (house mouse). RNAcentral's name for it is "long non-coding RNA chr12:52536039-52538317". The record is from RNAcentral. Lineage: Eukaryota; Metazoa; Chordata; Mammalia; Rodentia; Muridae.